Molecule: long non-coding RNA, 91 nt
Organism: Thalassophryne amazonica
Lineage: Eukaryota; Metazoa; Chordata; Actinopteri; Batrachoidiformes; Batrachoididae
Exons: 3
Source: RefSeq, a predicted model, not a curated record
GAGCACAGAAGACGUCAUAUGGAGAACUGAACAGUGGAUGUUUGCAGGAAGCCUUCAGCUUGUGGUGUGUGCCAAAAGGACUUUUAAAUUC